This is a long non-coding RNA of Esox lucius (northern pike), 700 nucleotides long. RefSeq lists it as uncharacterized. The transcript is spliced from 4 exons. The record is from RefSeq and is a predicted model, not a curated record. Lineage: Eukaryota; Metazoa; Chordata; Actinopteri; Esociformes; Esocidae.
AGGAAGGAGGGAUGCUGUGAAUGGAGCGUGAAAGGAACAUUAUUAUGAGUCAGAGAAUAGAGAGAUACGAGGCCAGAAACAAAAAAGGGACGGGGGACUGUGACACAUGGGAUGGAGUGAAGAGAAGAGACGAUGAACACAGGAUGUGCCAAGAACCAUAUCUCCUUUACCGCGAUGAACAUGCCCAAUCCCUACACCAAUGAUUGGCCAGACCUACAGACAGUAAGGACAGAGUCUCCGGAGACCACCAGGAUUCUCUAGAGGUAUUCAGGAGACACAGCUUCACCAUCCCCUGCUCCUCUCAGCCACAGUACCCGUGAGGCUCCUUCCUCCUCGUGUUUUCCGAAUCCCGACACAACCCAGAUCCAGACUCAGCCAGCUGUCAUUCACUCUGCUGCCUUCCAGUUCCGGCUGCAGAUGACUACCAAUAACUUAAUUACAUCUGUGUUUAUGAGAUCUCUGUUUUUCUCUCAUAACUUCUCCUGUGAGAGUGCCAUCCUUUCACUCUCCCUCACUGUCAAGUGAACACCAAGUACACAUAGAAUUUUGAUGAAUGUUCUUUCCUUGGGUCGAUCUGAUGAAUAAAAAUCUCUUAUUAAAUGUGUUUCUGUUGCUGCCUCUCCCUCUUCACUGACAGCUUUCAUCAUCUGACUUGUAGUAGUGCUUCUGAUGUUAGUGACAGCCACCAUUGCCACCUAUC